AUAUGCACUGCUCAAACAAAUGAAAGGAAUACUUGAUCAUUGGAUUCUGGCACAAAGUCUUUAGGGAUGUUGAUCUGUCCAAUCAGGAAGCAGAAACUGUUGUGAAUGCAUUUGACCUGCUUAGGUGCAAAUGAAAGAGGCAUAAGGUGCACUGGAGGAGUAACAACAACUAUUUCUAUGUCACUGCUCAUAGUAAGAGAAGGUACCUGCAGUCUAUUCAGAGUGCACAGCUCUAACCCAGCAGCAGGACUGUCAUGUAAGGAGAAGCGCUGCCAGAGCUCAUAUACUCAUCGUGUCCCAGGCAGAGGAUGACUUUGGUUUCCUCUGAUUCCAUUUCCAUUGUUACAUUUUUUCCACAUUAAACUGCACGAUGUGCUUUACCAGUUCAGAUUCUCAAGUUAAAAUCUCAUUCAUUGAGAUCUGAUGUGUGACUCAAGUAUUCCCUUUAUUUUUUUAGCAGUGUAGUUUGGCACUGUUCACGUUUCAAAGUCGUUCUAUGUUUAGGGUUAAGUGAACUUCUCAGCUCUUACGAGUGGAAAAGAGGAAAAGAGGAAGACCUCAGAGGAGAUUGAUGGAUGAUAGUGAAGGAGGGCAUAAGGAUGGAUGGUGUGGCAGAAACUAAAAGCUGUAUCAUUUGUGUCCACAGAUGUUCAGUUGUUACAUCUUUCUUGGCAGGCUGUGCUGUUAGCUGACAUCCUACCAACACUCUUCAUCAAACUGUUUGCUCCCUUCGUGAUCCACAAAAUGCCUUAUGGUGUUCGAGUGCUGUUCUGUGCUAUCAUGGCAGCAACGAGUUUCCUCCUGGUGUCCUUCUCCUCAGCUGUGUGGAUGAGUAUUCUCGGAGUGAUCUUUGCCAGUAUCAGCUCAGGACUGGGAGAGUUGUCCUUCCUCUCUCUAACAGUAUUUUUCAGCAGCUAUUUCUUCCUGCUGGUUUGUCCACCUUCAUUACCUCAGUGGAGGACCAAGGAGACUGAGUAUGCAGCUUUGGUCUCUGAGGACAGACAGCAACUUCUGGACAGUUCAGACGAGGAGGAGCCCGAGAGCUCCACCACAGAAGACCAACCCACCGGGCCUCUCAGUUUCAGAGAGAGACUGUUUGUUAUCAGAGGCUUGUGGAGGUUUGUGCUUCCACUGGGAGUGGUCUACUUAACCGAGUAUUUCAUCAACCAGGGUUUGAUGGAACUCCUGUUCUUCCACAAUAUCUUCCUGACCCAUGCAGCUCAGUAUCGCUGGUAUCAGACUCUGUACCAGCUUGGUGUACUGCUCUCUCGAUCCUCUCUGCGCUGUGUGAAGAUCAGGAAAGUGUGGAUUCUCAGUGUUCUGCAGGCAUCCCUUCCCUUCCUGUUGGCACCACAAAGUGUAUUACAGGCUAUCUGAGGAUACGUCUCCAUACAGGUACUCCGAGGCAUGAUGGAAAUUCUCAGCUGUUGAAGGGUUUCUGGAUUGGGCAGUGGUACUGCAUGGACACAGGAAAACCAGUCAUCCAACAAUCAGAUGAUGGACCAAAGGUUUCAUCCCUGUCAGGCAGAGCCACUGGCGCAACAUCUUUCGAAAAGGCAAUCGGUCUCUUCAGCUUGAUCAGAG
RNA transcript from Pelmatolapia mariae (spotted tilapia), 1584 nucleotides. It is a transcript of the gene named battenin-like, with no coding region annotated. The transcript is spliced from 10 exons. Lineage: Eukaryota; Metazoa; Chordata; Actinopteri; Cichliformes; Cichlidae. The record is from RefSeq and is a predicted model, not a curated record.